This is a long non-coding RNA of Asparagus officinalis (garden asparagus), 546 nucleotides long. RefSeq lists it as uncharacterized. The transcript is spliced from 4 exons. The record is from RefSeq and is a predicted model, not a curated record. NCBI's taxonomy places the organism in Eukaryota, Viridiplantae, Streptophyta, Magnoliopsida, Asparagales, Asparagaceae.
UUAUAAGUGCUGGUGGACUCCUCAGAAUGAAAACGACACUCUUUCAGAGAGGAGCUUCUUGAAGACAUCCACUUUUAAGGCCAUUGUAACUGUUAUCAUUGCGGGUUGCUGCUGAGGAAGACCACGAAUUAUCUGUAAUGCAGCUACACGGACUGCUCUGGUAACACAGGAAUGUUGUUUGUUGAUGCAUAUACCACAAUGCGAACGCUGAAAGAUGCUAAAAUUUCCGGUCACGCUCAAAUUAUUUUUCUCUCGGCAGGCUGCGGAGAGUGUCAUGGAUUCUUUCAAGUGAGAAUGAUGCAAUUUCAGAGAAGGAGCUUAUUGAAGACUAUCCACUUUAGAGGCCCCUCUCCGAAUAUAUAAUGGGUGUUUGCCUCUUCCUCCAGUUUCGUCAUAUUCCGUCGCGGUAUCUAGAUCUUGUACAUUAUAUGAUUUAGAUCAUUUCAACAAUAUUGAUUGGAGAGAAUCCUAUAAAACUGUAUUAUUUUUGUAGUCAUCACAUGUAAGCAUCCCUUAAUUAUAAUCUGAAAGUCCUUAAUGUGCAAA